Octodon degus (degu) is the source of this 479-nucleotide non-coding RNA. The record is from the annotation of a RefSeq genome assembly. Lineage: Eukaryota; Metazoa; Chordata; Mammalia; Rodentia; Octodontidae.
AAGCACAGCCCUGGGCUGUCUGCACCAUGGCCUGGGCUCCUCUCCUGCUCACACUCCUGGCUCACAUCACAGGGGCUGAAUCUCAGGCUGUGGUGACUCAGGAAUCUUCACUAUCCAUCUCUCCUGGAGGGACAGUCACACUCACCUGUGGCUCCAGCACUGGGGCUGUCACAACCAGUAACUAUGCUCACUGGUUGCAACAGAAAUCCUGUGAAACACCACAAGGCCUAAUAUCUAAUACCAACAUCCGGUACAGUGGUGUCCCUGCCCAAUUCUCAGGCUCCUUGCUUGGAGACAAGGCUGCCCUCACCAUCAAAGGGGCCCAGUCUGAAGACGAAGCCACCUAUUACUGUACCCUGUGGUACAGCAACCAUUUCCACAGUGACACGUGUAACCCCCAGCUGCUACUCUAUACUGUGAGCCAGGAUGAGAAGGGUGAAGGGCCAGUGUACCCCACCAACAACUGGGAUCCAACAUAG